RNAcentral lists this ribosomal RNA (403 nucleotides) under uncultured bacterium. RNAcentral describes it as "bacterial SSU rRNA". It matches the Rfam family "Bacterial small subunit ribosomal RNA", at positions 917 to 1322 of the family's 1533-position model. The record is from RNAcentral.
GGACCCGCACAAGUAGUGGAGCAUGUGGUUUAAUUCGAUGCAACGCGAAAAACCUUACCUACUCUUGACAUACUUGGGAGCUCUUGUAAUGAGAGUGUGCCUUUUGGAACCAAGAUACAGGUGCUGCAUGGCUGUCGUCAGCUCGUGUCGUGAGAUGUUCCGUUAAGUCGGAUAACGAGCGCAACCCUUACCCUUAUUUGCCAGCGAUUCGGUCGGGAACUCUAACAAGACUGCCGGUGCAAACCGUGAGGAAGGUGGGGAUGACGUCAAAUCAUCACGGCCCUUACGUCCUGGGCUACACACGUGCUACAAUGGUAGGGACAGAGAGCAGCCACUACGCGAGUAGGAGCGAAUCUAUAAACCCUAUCACAGUUCGGAUCGGAGUCUGCAACUCGACUCCGUG